CCCACAACUACCACAGCAUCCACAACUACCACAGCACCCACAACUACCACAGCACCCACAACUACCACAGCACCCACAACUACCACAGCACCCACAACUACCACAGCACCCACAACUACCACAGCACCCACAACUACCACAGCACCCACAACUACCACAGCACCCACAACUACCACAACUACCACAGCACCCACAACUACCACAGCAUCCACAACUACCACAGCACCCACAACUACCACAGCACCCACAACUACCACAGCACCCACAACUACCACAGCACCCACAACUACCACAGCACCCACAACUACCACAGCACCCACAACUACCACAGCAUCCACAACUUUAAGUACACACCCAACCACCGAUCUCACAACCCAUAUUGUGGACGGUACAACAACGAGCAGUGGGCCUAGAUACGUUGUUGUACUGAGGAUAAAACUGUCCUCUCUGAUCCCACUAACAGAUGACUACAUCAGAAAUGUGGUUUUACAGCAGCUCCGUGAGGAACUGAUCAGACAAGGGCUGCCAGGGGACUUCGCGCUACGCCUGAGAGCCACUCAUGGGAUCAGUUCCUGAGGGAGGAACAGGAAUUCAGAUCAACAUUCUUCACUCCUACUUGUCUUGUCUUCCUGGUUCUGAUUCUGCAGAAAGUUCUUCUGAAGAAGAAGUGGUUCCUUAUAAUGACAGAAUAUGGUUGAUUUGUACUAAUCUCUUGGGACAGACGCACGUAACAUGAAUUAUGAUUUUUGUUCUGGAUUGCCAGGAUUAGUUGAAUGGACUGACAGUGCUUCUGACUGGAUGUUAGUUGAAUGACUAACAUGACUGGGGUUCUUUCCUGUUUGGUAAUGUACAGAGGUAGACUGGGGUUCUUUCCUGUUUGGUAAUGUACAGAGGUAGACUGAGGUUAUUUUCUGUUUGGUAAUGUACAGAGGUAGACUGAGGGUCUUUACUGUGUCAAGAAUGGUUGGUUGAGGCUCAGUUUUCUGUGACAUUUUAGUGACAGAGGACACCGGUAGGGAGGACCCACUUGUAAACACCCACACACACUCAGGAAGACGUUUCACUUUCACUCACACAUGGAGCAUAAAGAGGAAUGAACAAUGAGGUUGAAUUGACACUGACGAAAGAGAAGAAGAAAUGAAUUGACACUGACUAAAGAGAAGAAGAAAUGAAUUAACACUGACUAAAGAGAAGAAGAAAUGAAUUGACACUGACUAAAGAGAAGAAGAAAUGAAUUGACACUGACGAAAGAGA
Molecule: long non-coding RNA, 1254 nt
Organism: Oncorhynchus tshawytscha (Chinook salmon)
Lineage: Eukaryota; Metazoa; Chordata; Actinopteri; Salmoniformes; Salmonidae
Source: Ensembl